UGCGGCUUAGAGUAAUGGCAACUCAAAGGUCUCAUAAGCCUUAGUCACAGGUUCAAUUCCUGUAGCCGCAACCA
This 74-nucleotide transfer RNA is filed under the name Chitinophagaceae bacterium. Its description in RNAcentral is "tRNA-Met". It matches the Rfam family "tRNA". Rfam says of the family: Transfer RNA (tRNA) molecules are approximately 80 nucleotides in length. Their secondary structure includes four short double-helical elements and three loops (D, anti-codon, and T loops). Further hydrogen bonds mediate the characteristic L-shaped molecular structure. tRNAs have two regions of fundamental functional importance: the anti-codon, which is responsible for specific mRNA codon recognition, and the 3' end, to which the tRNAs corresponding amino acid is attached (by aminoacyl-tRNA synthetases). tRNAs cope with the degeneracy of the genetic code in two manners: having more than one tRNA (with a specific anti-codon) for a particular amino acid; and 'wobble' base-pairing, i.e. permitting non-standard base-pairing at the 3rd anti-codon position. The record is from RNAcentral. Lineage: Bacteria; Pseudomonadati; Bacteroidota; Chitinophagia; Chitinophagales; Chitinophagaceae.